GUGACGGCUCCAAACUGCUCACCAGGAUCUCCACGGAUGUUGCUGCGCGAGGCACUUUUUCCGGGGUAAUGAAGCAAUGCGAUGCUCCAGAGUCAAACAACACAUGGGCCUCUACACCGCCCACUAAUAAAGUCCCUACAAAAACCUUAUGUGUUAAGAAUCCUAACAUUCAUCACAAAACAAUGAUUUCCAAAACAACAGAAAUAAUUCACAAAGUCUGAGUCUAAGAAAUCAUACCAGUGAUCGCUCUGUUGCUGAUACUGCUUAUCUCACGCGUAGUGUAGCCUUGUGGUGCCGCUACAAUCUGUGCUAACUGCUGCACUCCCUGCUGCAGCGCCGGCUGUACUACUGCCACUGCCAUCGGCUGCAACUUAGGACAAUUCGGCCUGAAAUGUCCCCUCUCCUUGUACUGGUAGCACUCUCUCGUCUCAGGUCGCUGCGUGCAAUCCACUACCUUGUGGUCAAGGCUCCCACAAGAAAAACAUCUUGCACGACCACCCUGUCCAGCUCCGGAAGGAUGAUCCCACUUCCUCUUCUGCCCCUGCUCAGGCUUGCCGCCCUUGCUAGGUGCCACCUGCUGCUGGGUCUUCUUUGGCUGUACCGCUGGACUCACUGCCACCACCUGCCUCUGAAGGUCCUCCUCUACCUCAGCAGUCGUCUCCAUCAGUGCCGCCUUCGUGACGUACUACGACACUCUACACCGCACCCUCAAAUCCGGUCGUAGUCCCCUCAAGAACCUCCUCAUCUGGGCCUGGUCAUCCUCCAUGCCCCGACCCGCAUACACCAAGAGUUGGUUAAACUCCCGGUCAUACUCCCAAACCGACCGCUCACCCUGUGUCAGCUUAAGAAAACGCGCCUCCAUACGGUCGAGCGCCUCCUGCGGAAAGUACUUGGCAUUAAACUCAGCCACAAAAUCUGUCCAAGACAUAUCCGCCUACCUCGUCCUGGCAGUCACACUCCGCCACCACAAAUGUGCAUCCCCCUCUAAAAAAUGCACUGCCAGAUCCACCCGAUUUUCUGCCGGGCAUCUGCUCGAACCGAAGUUACGCUCAACCCGCGACCUCCAACUGUAGGCCUCCUCUGGACUAGUACCACCAGAAAAAUACCCGCUGCCAAUCCUCUGCAACUGCUCCAUCAUCCUCAAAUAAGAUGGAACCUCCUCAGCAACCGCAGUCCUCUGCUGCACCUCCGCCACUCGUGGCGCAACUGGAGCCUCCACUGGUACCACGCCUGGUAACCGCUCCAACAACUGUCUCAGCAUGCCCGCCAAACCAACCUCUAGAGCCUGGGCUCCUCCGGCUGCGGCACCCAUCACUCUUGGGCCCUCAGCACCAACGACAUGCACACCGAUACUGACACCUGCUCCACCAGCCCCCACUCCGGCUGCACCAGCUAUAUCGGCACCAAGACCGUCUCCAACCCCGGGCUCCACAAACUCAGGCUGCAAACCCACACUCUUCUCAAUAGUGGCAUUGUGGCCAUCACUCUCGCCGGUACCCUCGAGGACUCGUCCUCUACCGCGACCACGACCACGACCACGACCACGACCACGACCACGACCACGACCACGACCACGACCACGAACUCCAGUUCCUUUAACCAUCUGCGCUACUCAAGAACAAAUGGCUAAGAAACUAAAAUAAACGAAUAUAUCACAAACUACUUACCGUGAAAUCUCAUUUAAGGCUCAGAGAAGAUGAUGCUAGGACUCCAACAACACACAAUUGACUAAACACUCCGUAAUCAAUCCUCAGUAUGCUAACACCCUAGCUCAUCCCACAUCAAUCAUUGAAAAAUAAUUCAUCAAUUAAUUAUUCUACACAUCCUAUAACCGUGAUCGCUCUAAUACCAAAUUGAAACAACCCGACCCAUUUUUGUUUU
RNAcentral lists this small RNA (1881 nucleotides) under Arabidopsis thaliana (thale cress). RNAcentral describes it as "ATSL095790". Lineage: Eukaryota; Viridiplantae; Streptophyta; Magnoliopsida; Brassicales; Brassicaceae. The record is from RNAcentral.